UAUGAAGGCCAGGCUGAAGACUUUGCCGGAUUAGCUGAGAGGUGGUGCAUGGCCGUCGUCAGUUCGUACUGUGAAGCAUCCUGUUAAGUCAGGCAACGAGCGAGACCCACGCCCACAGUUGCCGGCAUGUCCUCCGGGAUGAUGGGGACACUGUUGGGACCGCUCUGCUAAAGAGGAGGAAGGAAUGGGCAACGGUAGGUCAGCAUGCCCCGAAUUAUCCGGGCUACACGCGGGCUACAAUGGUCAGGACAAUGGGUAUCGACACCGAGAGGUGGAGGCAAUCUCCUAAACCUGUCCUUAGUUCGGAUUGUGGGCUGCAACUCGCCCACAUGAAGCUGGAAUCCGUAGUAAUCGCGUUUCAAAAUAGCGCGGUGAAUAUGUCCCUGCUCCUU
RNAcentral lists this ribosomal RNA (392 nucleotides) under uncultured Methanolinea sp. RNAcentral's name for it is "bacterial SSU rRNA". It matches the Rfam family "Archaeal small subunit ribosomal RNA", at positions 946 to 1338 of the family's 1478-position model. The record is from RNAcentral. Lineage: Archaea; Methanobacteriati; Methanobacteriota; Methanomicrobia; Methanomicrobiales; Methanoregulaceae.